This 465-nucleotide ribosomal RNA is filed under the name uncultured Klebsiella sp. RNAcentral describes it as "bacterial SSU rRNA". It matches the Rfam family "Bacterial small subunit ribosomal RNA", at positions 338 to 795 of the family's 1533-position model. The record is from RNAcentral. Lineage: Bacteria; Pseudomonadati; Pseudomonadota; Gammaproteobacteria; Enterobacterales; Enterobacteriaceae.
CCUACGGGUGGCAGCAGUGGGGAAUAUUGCACAUUGGGCGCAAGCCUGAUGCAGCCAUGCCGCGUGUGUGAAGAAGGCCUUCGGGUUGUAAAGCACUUUCAGCGGGGAGGAAGGCGGUGAGGUUAAUAACCUCAUCGAUUGACGUUACCCGCAGCAGAAGCACCGGCUAACUCCGUGCCAGCAGCCGCGGUAAUACGGAGGGUGCAAGCGUUAAUCGGAAUUACUGGGCGUAAAGCGCACGCAGGCGGUCUGUCAAGUCGGAUGUGAAAUCCCCGGGCUCAACCUGGGAACUGCAUUCGAAACUGGCAGGCUAGAGGCUUGUAGAGGGGGGUAGAAUUCCAGGUGUAGCGGUGAAAUGCGUAGAGAUCUGGAGGAAUACCGGUGGCGAAGGCGGCCCCCCGGACAAAGACUGACGCUCAGGUGCGAAAGCGUGGGGAGCAAACAGGAUUAGAUACCCUAGUAGUC